GGUCAAGCGAAUAAGCGCACACGGUGGAUGCCUUGGCGGUCAGAGGCGAUGAAGGACGUGGCAGCCUGCGAAAAGUAUCGGGGAGCUGGCAACAAGCUUUGAUCCGGUAAUGUCCGAAUGGGGAAACCCACCCGCUUGCGGGUAUCCUGCAGUGAAUA
RNAcentral lists this ribosomal RNA (158 nucleotides) under Acinetobacter baumannii. RNAcentral's name for it is "partial 23S ribosomal RNA". It matches the Rfam family "Bacterial large subunit ribosomal RNA", at positions 1 to 164 of the family's 2925-position model. Lineage: Bacteria; Pseudomonadati; Pseudomonadota; Gammaproteobacteria; Moraxellales; Moraxellaceae. The record is from RNAcentral.